CGGGGUGUGGCGCAGCCUGGUAGCGCACCUGCAUGGGGUGCAGGGGGUCAGAGGUUCAAAUCCUCUCACCCCGACCA
This 77-nucleotide transfer RNA is filed under the name Chloroflexota bacterium. RNAcentral's name for it is "tRNA-Pro". It matches the Rfam family "tRNA". From Rfam's summary of the family: Transfer RNA (tRNA) molecules are approximately 80 nucleotides in length. Lineage: Bacteria; Bacillati; Chloroflexota. RNAcentral also lists the same sequence under 1 other name. The record is from RNAcentral.